UGAGGGGCAGAGAGUGAGAA
Molecule: microRNA, 20 nt
Filed under: Bos taurus (domestic cattle)
Lineage: Eukaryota; Metazoa; Chordata; Mammalia; Artiodactyla; Bovidae
Description: bta-miR-11971
Source: miRBase by way of RNAcentral